CCUACGGGUCGCAGCAGUGAGGAAUAUUGGACAAUGGGCGGGAGCCUGAUCCAGCCAUGCCGCGUGCAGGAAGACUGCCCUAUGGGUUGUAAACUGCUUUUAUACGGGAAGAAACACUCCCUCGUGAGGGAAUUUGACGGUACCGUAAGAAUAAGGAUCGGCUAACUCCGUGCCAGCAGCCGCGGUAAUACGGAGGAUCCAAGCGUUAUCCGGAAUCAUUGGAUUUAAAGGGUCCGUAGGUGAACGAUUAAGUCAGAGGUGAAAUCUUGCAGCUCAACUGUAAAAUUGCCUUUGAUACUGGUUGUCUUGAGUUAUUAUGAAGUGGCUAGAAUAUGUAGUGUAGCGGUGAGAUGCAUAGAUAUUACAUAGAAUACCAAUUGCGAAGGCAGAUCACUAAUAAUAUACUGACACUGAUGGACGAAAGCGUGGGUAGCGAACAGGAUUAGAUACCCGGGUAGUC
This 460-nucleotide ribosomal RNA is filed under the name uncultured bacterium. RNAcentral's name for it is "bacterial SSU rRNA". It matches the Rfam family "Bacterial small subunit ribosomal RNA", at positions 338 to 795 of the family's 1533-position model. The record is from RNAcentral.